This 21-nucleotide microRNA is filed under the name Medicago truncatula (barrel medic). Its description in RNAcentral is "mtr-miR5259". Lineage: Eukaryota; Viridiplantae; Streptophyta; Magnoliopsida; Fabales; Fabaceae. The record is from miRBase by way of RNAcentral.
CAAGGGGUAUUGCGGAGGAUA